This is a long non-coding RNA of Triticum aestivum (bread wheat), 417 nucleotides long. RefSeq lists it as uncharacterized. The transcript is spliced from 3 exons. Lineage: Eukaryota; Viridiplantae; Streptophyta; Magnoliopsida; Poales; Poaceae. The record is from RefSeq and is a predicted model, not a curated record.
AUUCCUUCUCGUGUAACAUGAUUAUUGUUUAAUAAAGGUUGCCGAAUUUCAGAAAAGAAGAAGACAAAAACACCCCACCCCACCCCUUCUUUUGGCGUUGGGAAAGGCGAACAAGGAACCCUAGCCCGAGGCCUGUCACGAUGACGGCGGUCCGAUGCGCAGCCAGGAGGCUCGGUGGCUCCCUGCUCCAGCAAACGCAGACGGCGGCCACCUCACCUGCGAUCGCGGAGGAGCGACGCCGGCUCGUGACACGGCUCAUGCACACCAACGAGCAUUCUGGUGAAGACGUUUUGCGCGAGAUCCAGCAGAAGAAAAAGGAGCUGUAUGAUGUGAUACUUAAGGCGGAGAAGAAUUUCAUGACUAGUAACUGGCGUAACAGAGGGCUACUCCGGCAUCUUUCUGUACAAAUCGAUCCAA